RNAcentral lists this non-coding RNA (63 nucleotides) under Bacillus cereus 03BB108. RNAcentral's name for it is "Bacillus-plasmid RNA". It matches the Rfam family "Bacillus-plasmid RNA". Lineage: Bacteria; Bacillati; Bacillota; Bacilli; Caryophanales; Bacillaceae. The record is from Rfam by way of RNAcentral.
UUAGUCAACGGCUAGCGGACAACCGUAAGGGAGGGGCAUUAAGGAGUUGACUAAAUAACACCU